Molecule: long non-coding RNA, 395 nt
Filed under: Vigna radiata
Lineage: Eukaryota; Viridiplantae; Streptophyta; Magnoliopsida; Fabales; Fabaceae
Description: long non-coding RNA (VRAD_LNC002456)
Source: RNAcentral
GUGACAUAAUGUGUGGAGGUACAAUGAUAAAGGAAUGGUUCAAUAAUCGGAGUGAGAAAGUUUAGGACAAUUUAGGGCCCAGGAAGAAGAACACCUACCGUCAAUCCUUAUCAUCUAUGAUGGAGAUGCAAGGACAUCUUUUGAGCCAUCUCAUAAAUUCAACCACUCGUUUCUUUUAUCAGGUUUUCUCUCAAUCAUCUCCUUUUUUUUCUUUUUCUUUUUUUCUCUUUUUGUGGCUGCUAUACCCAUUUUAAUUUCAAUAUCUUCAUGGGUUUAUUAUCAUUUUUCCACUAUUAAUUUUAAUUCUUAUAUUUAUAUACUGUCCAUUUUUUGAUAAUUAAUAAAAUAUUUAAUCUUCAAACAAAAAUAGUAAUAAUUAAUAAACUAUACCUAGC